CAUAUGGUCGACCUGCAGGCGGCCGCGAAUUCACUAGUGAUUAGAGUUUGAUCAUGGCUCAGAACGAACGCUUUCGGUAUGCUUAACACAUGCAAGUCGAACGGAUUUAUUUAGAGCUUGCUUUAAAUAAAUUAGUGGCAGACGGGUGAGUAACACGUGGGAAUCUGCCCAUCAGUACGGAAUAACAUUUAGAAAUAAUUGCUAAUACCGUAUAUUCUCUUUGGAGGAAAGAUUUAUCGCUGAUGGAUGAGCCCGCGCCAGAUUAGGUAGUUGGUAGGGUAAUGGCCUACCAAGCCAAUGAUCUGUAGCUGGUUUGAGAGAAUGAUCAGCCACACUGGGACUGAGACACGGCCCAGACUCCUACGGGAGGCAGCAGUGGGGAAUAUUGGACAAUGGGCGAAAGCCUGAUCCAGCAAUACCGAGUGGGUGAUGAAGGCCUUAGGGUUGUAAAGCCCUUUUCAGCAGGGAAGAUAAUGACGGUACCUGACCAAGAAAGCCCCGGCUAACUCCGUGCCAGCAGCCGCGGUAAUACAAUCGAAUUCCCGCGGCCGCCAUGGCGCCCGGGAGCAUGCGAC
RNAcentral lists this ribosomal RNA (575 nucleotides) under uncultured Alphaproteobacteria bacterium. RNAcentral's name for it is "bacterial SSU rRNA". It matches the Rfam family "Bacterial small subunit ribosomal RNA", at positions 1 to 559 of the family's 1533-position model. The record is from RNAcentral. Lineage: Bacteria; Pseudomonadati; Pseudomonadota; Alphaproteobacteria.